This 491-nucleotide ribosomal RNA is filed under the name uncultured bacterium. Its description in RNAcentral is "partial 16S ribosomal RNA". It matches the Rfam family "Bacterial small subunit ribosomal RNA", at positions 28 to 507 of the family's 1533-position model. The record is from RNAcentral.
GAUGAACGCUAGCUACAGGCUUAACACAUGCAAGUCGAGGGGAAACGACAUCGAAAGCUUGCUUUUGAUGGGCGUCGACCGGCGCACGGGUGAGUAACGCGUAUCCAACCUGCCCACCACUUGGGGAUAACCUUGCGAAAGUAAGACUAAUACCCAAUGAUAUCUCUAGAAGACAUCUGAAAGAGAUUAAAGAUUUAUCGGUGAUGGAUGGGGAUGCGUCUGAUUAGCUUGUUGGCGGGGUAACGGCCCACCAAGGCAACGAUCAGUAGGGGUUCUGAGAGAAAGGUCCCCCACAUUGGAACUGGGACACGGUCCAAACUCCUACGGAAGGCAGCAGUGAGGAAUAUUGGUCAAUGGACGAGAGUCUGAACCAGCCAAGUAGCGUGCAGAAAGACGGCCCUAUGGGUUGUAAACUGCUUUAUAAGGGAAUAAAGUGAGUCUCGUGAGACUUUUUGCAUGUACCUUAUGAAUAAGGACCGGCUAAUUCCGUG